This 74-nucleotide transfer RNA is filed under the name Turnera subulata. RNAcentral describes it as "tRNA-Val". Lineage: Eukaryota; Viridiplantae; Streptophyta; Magnoliopsida; Malpighiales; Passifloraceae. The record is from RNAcentral.
GGUGUCGUGGUGUAGUUGGUUAUCCCGUCAGUCUAACACACUGAAGGUCUCCCGUUCGAGUUCGGGGGACGCCA